RNAcentral lists this ribosomal RNA (449 nucleotides) under uncultured bacterium. RNAcentral's name for it is "partial 16S ribosomal RNA". It matches the Rfam family "Bacterial small subunit ribosomal RNA", at positions 29 to 523 of the family's 1533-position model. The record is from RNAcentral.
AAUGAACGCUGGCGGCAGGCCUAACACAUGCAAGUCGAACGGGCACUUCGGUGCUAGUGGCGGACGGGUGAGUAACGCGUGGGAACGUGCCCCUUGGUACGGAAUAGCCCCGGGAAACUGGGAGUAAUACCGUAUGUGGUCGAGAGACGAAAGAUUUAUCGCCAAGGGAUCGGCCCGCGUUGGAUUAGGUAGUUGGUGGGGUAAUGGCCUACCAAGCCGACGAUCCAUAGCUGGUUUGAGAGGAUGAUCAGCCACACUGGGACUGAGACACGGCCCAGACUCCUACGGGAGGCAGCAGUGGGGAAUCUUAGACAAUGGGGGAAACCCUGAUCUAGCCAUGCCGCGUGAUCGAUGAAGGCCUUAGGGUUGUAAAGAUCUUUCAGGUGGGAAGAUAAUGACUGUACCACCAGAAGAAGCCCCGGCUAACUCCGUGCCAGCAGCCGCCGCAG